Non-coding RNA from Camelina sativa (false flax), 133 nucleotides. The record is from RefSeq and is a predicted model, not a curated record. NCBI's taxonomy places the organism in Eukaryota, Viridiplantae, Streptophyta, Magnoliopsida, Brassicales, Brassicaceae.
CAGAGAAAUCUCAGAAAUAUGCAGAAAAGGUACAAAAGGAAAUUCAUGAUGCUGGGUUCUAUGUGGAUGCCGACUUAACAGACAGGAAGAUCGAUAAAAAGGUGCGUGAAGCUCAGCUUGCGCAGUACAACUA